Molecule: long non-coding RNA, 1829 nt
Organism: Cyprinus carpio carpio
Lineage: Eukaryota; Metazoa; Chordata; Actinopteri; Cypriniformes; Cyprinidae
Source: Ensembl
AUGAAUGGAAAUGCAUGCGGCUUUCUGGGAAUGUCUCUGAAAACCAGUUUUAAUUACGCACAGGAAGAUUUUAAUCACUGUGUGGUUUUUCUGUUUUUAAUGACUUACUGGAAAGCACAUUGGUGGACAGAUGUUGAAAUUAAUUGUGUUAUAUAAAUAAAUUGUCAUUGUAAUACAGUCAGCAACAGAAACUCUUCAUCAGAACUCUCAGAAGAUUCUUAAUAAUAACUUUCAGAAGUCAUUGACAAACAUUACGAAACUCAUUCCAACUUUCAAAUCUGAUUUGAUGAGCGGCAUUCAAAAGAUUAUUUCACCAGUUUGCUAAUUUAAAUGUUACUAAUUCUCAUAAUUUCUGUCAAGAAGUGUAUUGUCAAUAAAUAACCCUACACUGCAAAAAAUGUUGGUUUUUUUACUCAGUAUUUUUGUCAUUAUCCAGUACAAAUAUCAGAACAUUCUUAAAUCAAGAUGCACUUACGCGAAGCAAAAUGACUUUUAAGAAAUUAAGAUUUGCUUUCUGAAAAAUGUAUCAAAAUUUUGUUUUGUAUGGAGCAAGUAAAAUAAUCUUGUUUUGCCUUAGAAUAAAUUUUUUUUUCCUCAGUGACAGUUUUUUUGUACAUUUUAUCAUCACACACACCUUUCCUGUGCUGAAAUCACUUUACAUUUAAUGCUUAAAGUCCCCAUUAAAUGAAGUCAGCAUUUUAACAGAAUGUUGCAGUGAAUUAUGCACAUCAUUAUUUUUAAAUUCCUGUGCCCUCAAAUGUUUAAUCAAACAGUAAUUUUCCCUUUCCUUUCCUUUUCGAGCAGUUUCACACAGAUGUUUAAAAGAUCUGACCUUCAUAUAAAUACAGAUCUGAAUGUUCAGUUUACAUGACUUGACAUUUAGUUCACAUUUAUAGCAUAUGUUAUAUUGAAAUCAUAUGAUGAAAUAAUGUUAAAUUGGUGAUUUAUCAUAAAGAGUGAUUAUGAAGUGUUACCAUGAACUUCAGGUUUCUUUAAUAUUAAAUGUUUCUUGAGAUUAAUGAUGAAAAUGAUGAUUGCCUUAUAUGUGCGUUGUAGGCUGGCCUAAUGGUGGACACCCGUCUGAAGGAGCUGAUGCCCACAAUGCCGGAGAUUUUCAUCUAAGCCAGACACGCAGCUUGUACGAGUGUCCUGUCUGUAAGACCCAACAGCGCGGCCCUUCAGCCUGAAGACCAAACAGAAUCCCUCGCCGGAGUCGCCCUGCUGCUUCAGAUAUAACCACCUGCUAGCAUUUCACCAGUGUCUUAUUCGCUACUAAUAUGAUGUAACGCACCUUUUUAGAGCAUAGUAUUUUGACUCUAUUUUGCAUUGGUGAGUUCCAAUGCAAACGUUUGCUCAAACGCAGUGUGCCAUACAGCUGAAUAAAAGCACUUCGAUGAAACGCUUUCAUAUUUGUUCAGUUUUUUCUUUCCCAGAUUUGUGUGACUCUGCUCUGCUUCUGUUCUCUGAAAUUUAAAACUGGAAGCCUACAAAUCUCAGUUCUAUCAGAAAGCAGAAAGUGCAACACCUCAGCAGCAGCGAUAAGCCUCUAGGGUCACUUAUAUCUGUUAUUGAGAAAACUUAACAACACGUACUGAGACUGAGCUAUGAAACAGGGCCACAGGGCAACAGAUUAUGUGGAGAAAAGCAAUAAAUCCAUCCGAAAUCCAAUUACAAAGCACCGGGAAACAGAGCUUCAUGUGACACACAGCUUCUGUUGUGCUCUUUAUAUUCAUUUCUCUCGUGUCCCGGCGUAAGGGACAGCAGACAAACACGUUAAAGAAAUAAAUAUGAAACCGACACAAAAUAUAAGGGAACCUUCUUCAUUUGUU